Molecule: long non-coding RNA, 609 nt
Filed under: Brassica napus (rape)
Lineage: Eukaryota; Viridiplantae; Streptophyta; Magnoliopsida; Brassicales; Brassicaceae
Description: long non-coding RNA (BNAP_LNC022806)
Source: RNAcentral
UGUGUUUUAGACAUAUUAGUCCUAACUCUGAAUAACAUACCAAGAUAAAUAAACCUCCAAAACACAUGACAAGUUCACUACAUAAAGACAACCCCAAACACAGAAGAGAAAUUCAUGUUGCAACGAUAACCCCGAACACAUAAGAGAAACACUACAUCAUAUACUCAAACUCAAACACAUGUUACCACGUCUCUUCUUCUUAAGUCAUCCACACAAAGACCCCUUUCCAUAACCAUUUCAUAUCAUAGCUUUCAAUUAUUUCUUCAUUCCCAAGCAAUACAAUCUCAUCCGUUUUACCACUCGUCUCUCCUUCUUCCAUCUUCUCAAGCCUUAUUUUUUUUUUCCUCAAUCAUACUCUUUCACAUCGACAUCGUCUCUGCUUCGUGACUCUCGCCAUCUCCCUCUCGCCAUCUCUGCUUCGUCACUCUCUCUCUCUCUGUUCUUCGUCACUCUCUCUGGCUUCGUCUCUCUCUCCAAUUUUCGUCAUCGUCGUCUUCUCUCUCUCUGUUCUUGGUCGUCUGUCUCUCUGUUCUACAUCGUCCCUCUCUCUUCUUAUGUUCUUCGUCGUGUCUGUAACUGAGAAAUAAUCAGACCAAAACCUAAUUUUAA